GAUGAACGCUGGCGGCGAGCCUAAUACAUGCAAGUCGAGCGAACAGACGAGGAGCUUGCUCCUUUGAUGUUAGCGGCGGACGGGUGAGUAACACGUAGGUAACCUACCUAUAAGACUGGGAUAACUUCGGGAAACCGGAGCUAAUACCGGAUAAUAUUUCGAACCGCAUGGUUCGAUAGUGAAAGAUGGCUUUGCUAUCACUUAUAGAUGGACCUGCGCCGUAUUAGCUAGUUGGUAAGGUAACGGCUUACCAAGGCAACGAUACGUAGCCGACCUGAGAGGGUGAUCGGCCACACUGGAACUGAGACACGGUCCAGACUCCUACGGGAGGCAGCAGUAGGGAAUCUUCCGCAAUGGGCGAAAGCCUGACGGAGCAACGCCGCGUGAGUGAUGAAGGUCUUCGGAUCGUAAAACUCUGUUAUUAGGGAAGAACAAACGUGUAAGUAACUGUGCACGUCUUGACGGUACCUAAUCAGAAAGCCACGGCUAACUACGUG
RNAcentral lists this ribosomal RNA (497 nucleotides) under uncultured bacterium. RNAcentral's name for it is "partial 16S ribosomal RNA". It matches the Rfam family "Bacterial small subunit ribosomal RNA", at positions 28 to 507 of the family's 1533-position model. The record is from RNAcentral.